AGGAAAAUAGUUCAGUAGGUAGAAUAGUGGUUUCCAAAACCAAAGGCCAGGGGUUCAAGUCCCUUUUUUCCUG
Molecule: transfer RNA, 73 nt
Filed under: Haslea ostrearia
Lineage: Eukaryota; Bacillariophyta; Bacillariophyceae; Naviculales; Naviculaceae
Also listed under: 1 other name
Description: tRNA-Trp
Rfam family: tRNA
About the family: Transfer RNA (tRNA) molecules are approximately 80 nucleotides in length. Their secondary structure includes four short double-helical elements and three loops (D, anti-codon, and T loops). Further hydrogen bonds mediate the characteristic L-shaped molecular structure. tRNAs have two regions of fundamental functional importance: the anti-codon, which is responsible for specific mRNA codon recognition, and the 3' end, to which the tRNAs corresponding amino acid is attached (by aminoacyl-tRNA synthetases). tRNAs cope with the degeneracy of the genetic code in two manners: having more than one tRNA (with a specific anti-codon) for a particular amino acid; and 'wobble' base-pairing, i.e. permitting non-standard base-pairing at the 3rd anti-codon position.
Source: RNAcentral